Molecule: ribosomal RNA, 301 nt
Filed under: uncultured bacterium
Lineage: Bacteria
Description: partial 16S ribosomal RNA
Rfam family: Bacterial small subunit ribosomal RNA
Source: RNAcentral
CAGUAGCCGCGGGAAUACAGAGGGUGCGAGCGUUAAUCGGAUUUACUGGGCGUAAAGCGUGCGUAGGCGGCUUUUUAAGUCGGAUGUGAAAUCCCUGAGCUUAACUUAGGAAUUGCAUUCGAUACUGGGAAGCUAGAGUAUGGGAGAGGAUGGUAGAAUUCCAGGUGUAGCGGUGAAAUGCGUAGAGAUCUGGAGGAAUACCGAUGGCGAAGGCAGCCAUCUGGCCUAAUACUGACGCUGAGGUACGAAAGCAUGGGGAGCAAACAGGAUUAGAUACCCCUGUAGUCCCUGUCUCUUAUAA